Molecule: ribosomal RNA, 878 nt
Filed under: uncultured marine bacterium
Lineage: Bacteria
Description: bacterial SSU rRNA
Rfam family: Bacterial small subunit ribosomal RNA
Source: RNAcentral
GUCGAGGGGUACAUUGUAGCUUGCUACAGAUGACGACCGGCGCACGGGUGCGUAACGCGUAUAGAAUCUGCCUCAUACUGAGGGAUAGCCUUUGGAAACGAAGAUUAAUACCUCAUGGUAUCAUUAGAUGGCAUCAUUUAGUGAUUAAAGGUUACGGUAUGAGAUGACUAUGCGUCCUAUUAGCUUGUCGGUAAGGUAACGGCUUACCAAGGCAACGAUAGGUAGGGGCCCUGAGAGGGGGAUCCCCCACACUGGUACUGAGACACGGACCAGACCCCUACGGGAGGCAGCAGUGAGGAAUAUUGGACAAUGGAGGCAACUCUGAUCCAGCCAUGCCGCGUGAAGGAUGACUGCCCUAUGGGUUGUAAACUUCUUUUAUAUAGGAAGAAACAGUUUCUCGUGAGAAACCUUGACGGUACUAUAUGAAUAAGCACCGGCUAACUCCGUGCCAGCAGCCGCGGUAAUACGGAGGGUGCAAGCGUUAUCCGGAAUCAUUGGGUUUAAAGGGUCCGUAGGCGGAUAGAUAAGUCGGAGGUGAAAUCCUGCAGCUCAACUGUAGAAUUGCCUUUGAUACUGUUUAUCUUGAGUUAUUGUGAAGUGGUUAGAAUAUGUAGUGUAGCGGUGAAAUGCUUAGAGAUUACAUGGAAUACCGAUUGCGAAGGCAGAUCACUAACAAUAUACUGACGCUGAUGGACGAAAGCGUGGGGAGCGAACGGGAUUAGAUACCCCGGUAGUCCACGCCGUANACGAUGGAUACUAGCUGUUCGGAAUUUAUUCUGAGUGGCCAAGCGAAAGUGAUAAGUAUCCCACCUGGGGAGUACGUUCGCAAGAAUGAAACUCAAAGGAAUUGACGGGGGCCCGCACAAGCGGUGGAGCAU